GAAUAAUAAAUCUUAAUUAAGCUUUUAAUUUAAUUAAUUAUUA
This 43-nucleotide transfer RNA is filed under the name Mecaphesa arida. RNAcentral describes it as "tRNA-Leu". Lineage: Eukaryota; Metazoa; Arthropoda; Arachnida; Araneae; Thomisidae. RNAcentral also lists the same sequence under 1 other name. The record is from RNAcentral.